AGAGUUUGAUCAUGGCUCAGGACGAACGCUGGCGGCGGCCUAAUACAUGCAAGUCGAGCGAGAACCGGGGCUUCGGCCCCGGGGAGAGCGGCGAACGGGUGCGUAUCACGUGAGCAACCUGCCUCGGAGACCGGAAUAACUCGAGGAAACUCGGGCUAAUGCCGGAUGCCCUCGGUGGACCGCAUGGCCGGCGAGGAAAUGGAUUCCGCUCCGAGAUGGGCUCGCGGCCUAUCAGCUUGUUGGUGGGGUAACGGCCUACCAAGGCGACGACGGGUAGCUGGUCUGAGAGGACGAUCAGCCACACUGGGACUGAGACACGGCCCAGACUCCUACGGGAGGCAGCAAUAGGGAAUCUUGCGCAAUGGGGGAAACCCUGACGCAGCGACGCCGCGUGCGGGAUGAAGGCCUUCGGGUCGUAAACCGCUUUCAGCAGGGACGAAAUUGACGGUACCUGCAGAAGAAGGCCCGGCCAACUACGUGCCAGCAGCCGCGGUGAUACGUAGGGGUCUAGCGUUGUCCGGAAUUAUUGGGCGUAAAGAGCUCGUAGGCGGUUCGGCAAGUCGGAUGUGAAAUCUCCACGCUUAACGUGGAGGGGCCAUUCGAAACUGCCGUGACUCGAGUCCGGUAGGGGAGUUCGGAAUUCCCGGUGUAGCGGUGAAAUGCGCAGAUAUCGGGAGGAACACCAGUGGCGAAGGCGGAACUCUGGGCCGGAACUGACGCUGAGGAGCGAAAGCGUGGGGAGCGAACAGGAUUAGAUACCCUAGUAGUCC
This 770-nucleotide ribosomal RNA is filed under the name uncultured bacterium. RNAcentral's name for it is "bacterial SSU rRNA". It matches the Rfam family "Bacterial small subunit ribosomal RNA", at positions 8 to 796 of the family's 1533-position model. The record is from RNAcentral.